AAACUGGCCCCAUGCUGGGCAAUUAGUUAUUGUAUCCAUGUUCCUUUGAUUGUUUCUAGACACUUGGGAGCAGUGGGACACUUCUUAUUCAGGGAAUUGUACCUAUUCUCUUUCCCCCUCCCAAUUUGGGUCCAGCUGAGGAAGGGGCUGGUUCCAGUUUGUUGGGCAAUUGGCAUGCAUUAUUUAACAAAUCAAUACAUUCGGAAGAUUGAACCUUUGUUUCUUCAGUCAUUUAAUCUUUCAUCCACAACAGAAGGAAAGCAACUUUGUAAAGAUCAUACAUGUGCAGUCAUGCAAAACAUAUUUCCACAUUAGUCAUGUUGCAAAAGAAAACACUGACUAAAAAAUAACAAUAAAAAAGAGAAAAUUUAUUGAAGUACA
Molecule: long non-coding RNA, 381 nt
Organism: Monodelphis domestica (gray short-tailed opossum)
Lineage: Eukaryota; Metazoa; Chordata; Mammalia; Didelphimorphia; Didelphidae
Source: Ensembl